This is a long non-coding RNA of Papaver somniferum (opium poppy), 520 nucleotides long. RefSeq lists it as uncharacterized. The transcript has 3 exons. The record is from RefSeq and is a predicted model, not a curated record. NCBI's taxonomy places the organism in Eukaryota, Viridiplantae, Streptophyta, Magnoliopsida, Ranunculales, Papaveraceae.
UCGUUUUCAUUUCUUCCUCACCGCAGAGAAAAAUAGAGGCAAAGAGCAGUCUAGAGCAGAGGCAGAGAGCUCCAUUCCAUCACCAGAUUCAUCUCCAUUUUCUUCUAUUCUUCUUCUUCAUCAUCUUAUAAUCAACUACUUCAGCACCAAACGACCAUUCAACAUUCUACUUCAACACCUUCGUUGGAGUUGAAGUGAUGUAUGAUGUUGUAUAUGUUGCUGGUGUUAUGGAUAUUGGGAGUAACAAGCUUUAUGUCUCUAAGGACUCCAUUAAAGUGGCAAGUGCAGUUGGAGACUUUGGAUGCCCGCCCUUUCAUGCCAUCAAGAACAACCAUCUUUACUAAAUCUGUUGGAUUUUAUGUGUUAGUUAUUAGAUUUUUUGUUUUAGUUAUCUAUGUUGGAGUGUCGGAUGUAUUUGAUAUUUUAAAACAAUUAGUUUCACAGACAGGUUAGUUUAUAAUUUUCUGUCUUUAGUAAAAUUGUCGGUCAGUUUUGUAAAACUGACGGAAUUUUCAGUUAA